RNAcentral lists this ribosomal RNA (253 nucleotides) under uncultured bacterium. Its description in RNAcentral is "partial 16S ribosomal RNA". It matches the Rfam family "Bacterial small subunit ribosomal RNA", at positions 524 to 776 of the family's 1533-position model. The record is from RNAcentral.
UACGAAGGGUGCAAGCGUUACUCGGAAUUACUGGGCGUAAAGCGUGCGUAGGUGGUUUUUUAAGUCCGUUGUGGAAGCCCUGGGCUCAACCUGGGAAUGGCAGUGGAUACUGGAAAGCUAGAGUGCGGUAGAGGGUAGUGGAAUUCCCGGUGUAGCAGUGAAAUGCGUAGAGAUCGGGAGGAACACCAGUGGCGAAGGCGGCUACCUGGACCAGCACUGACACUGAGGCACGAAAGCGUGGGGAGCAAACAGG